AGGGGACCUUCGGGCCUUUCGCUAACAGAUGAGCCUGCGUUGGAUUAGCUAGUUGGUGGGGUAAGGGCCCACCAAGGCGACGAUCCAUAGCUGGUCUGAGAGGACGAUCAGCCACACUGGGACUGAGACACGGCCCAGACUCCUACGGGAGGCAGCAGUGGGGAAUAUUGGACAAUGGGCGCAAGCCUGAUCCAGCAAUACCGCGUGUGUGAAGAAGGCCCUAGGGUUGUAAAGCACUUUCAAUUGGGAGGAAAACCCACCGGCCAAUACCCGGUGGCUUGACAUUACCUUUAGAAGAAGCACCGGCUAACUCCGUGCCAGCAGCCGCGGUAAUACGGAGGGUGCGAGCGUUAAUCGGAAUUACUGGGCGUAAAGCGUGCGUAGGCGGCCCGUUAAGUCAGAUGUGAAAGCCCCGGGCUCAACCUGGGAACUGCAUUUGAAACUGGCGGGCUAGAGUUUGGUAGAGGGGAGCGGAAUUUCAGGUGUAGCGGUGGAAUGCGUAGAUAUCUGAAGGAACACCAGUGGCGAA
This 529-nucleotide ribosomal RNA is filed under the name uncultured bacterium. RNAcentral describes it as "bacterial SSU rRNA". It matches the Rfam family "Bacterial small subunit ribosomal RNA", at positions 202 to 719 of the family's 1533-position model. The record is from RNAcentral.